This 251-nucleotide unclassified non-coding RNA is filed under the name uncultured fungus. RNAcentral describes it as "partial contains small subunit ribosomal RNA, internal transcribed spacer 1, and 5.8S ribosomal RNA". The stretch from base 1 to 73 matches the Rfam family "Eukaryotic small subunit ribosomal RNA", at positions 1759 to 1831 of the family's 1831-position model. The record is from RNAcentral. Lineage: Eukaryota; Fungi.
GCAAACUUGGUCAUUUAGAGGAAGUAAAAGUUGUAACAAGGUUUCCGUAGGUGAACCUGCGGAAGGAUCAUUAACAAAUCCAAUAAUUGUGGGAGGGGGCAACCUCUCUUGCAAAUAUUAAACCGCCAAUUCUUUACGGGAUUGGUUGGCUAAAUAAAUGCAUGUAAUGUUGACAGUGUGUGAGUAACUAAAAUUUAUUGACAACUUUUAACAAUGGAUCUCUAGGCUCUUGCAUCGAUGAAGAACGCAGC